This 487-nucleotide ribosomal RNA is filed under the name uncultured bacterium. RNAcentral describes it as "bacterial SSU rRNA". It matches the Rfam family "Bacterial small subunit ribosomal RNA", at positions 28 to 507 of the family's 1533-position model. The record is from RNAcentral.
GAUGAACGCUAGCUACAGGCUUAACACAUGCAAGUCGAGGGGCAGCACUAGGUAGCAAUACUGAGGUGGCGACCGGCGCACGGGUGCGUAACGCGUAUCCAACCUUCCCGAUACUCUUGGAUAGCCUUCCGAAAGGGAGAUUAAUACAAGAUGGUGUUUCACUUUCGCAUGUUAUUGAAACUAAAGAUUUAUCGGUAUCGGAUGGGGAUGCGUGACAUUAGAUAGUAGGCGGGGUAACGGCCCACCUAGUCUACGAUGUCUAGGGGUUCUGAGAGGAAGGUCCCCCACACUGGAACUGAGACACGGUCCAGACUCCUACGGGAGGCAGCAGUGAGGGAAUAUUGGUCAAAUGGGCGCGAGCCUGAACCAGCCAAGUAGCGUGAAGGAUGACUGCCCUACGGGUUGUAAACUUCUUUGUUUGGGAAUAAACACCUUACGUGUAGGGUCUUGUAUGUACCGUAUGAAUAAGCAUCGGCUAAACUCCGUG